Molecule: long non-coding RNA, 866 nt
Filed under: Populus tremula
Lineage: Eukaryota; Viridiplantae; Streptophyta; Magnoliopsida; Malpighiales; Salicaceae
Description: long non-coding RNA (PTRE_LNC000976)
Source: RNAcentral
CAUUGAUCUGGAAAUGUGCAAAUCCUUCCGUGUUUUGAUUUCUCAAUCAAGGAUUUUUAUUAAAUACUUGAUGAAAAAAAUUUCUAAGUUAUUCUUGUAAGUACUAAGUACAGAUAAUGCAUACGCCACAUGAACAGAUGGGAGGCAUGAGCUGUGCAUUCCCAGAAUUGGUUUGGUUUCUCGACUACAAUUCAUGGCAAGUUUGAAAACAGAUUGAGCCCUUCGAAGUUUGAAAUGCUAAAACAGAACCUGGAAAACUGGAAAAUCGGAGAAUCCAUCAUCGGGUUAGCCAGCUCGUUCCCUCUCCUCCAACAAAAGUAGCAUGAAUCGAUCAUUGUUGAUACACACGCAUGCAGAGACUCCUCGUUUGUGAGGAAAAUAAAAGUGAAAAAGCGAAGGUCUUCUGGUUUUGCAUUAAAUAUUUUACAGAGAGAAUAUUUUACAAACAGAUUUACAUUGAAAAUAUUUUCAGAUAUUUGGCGAGAAACAACAUAAAAUGGCAGUGGUGGCGGCAGUAUUAAAGGUAUGAUAACAAAGUCGUGGUAGUGGUAGUGGAGUAGUAAUGGUGAUAGGGUGGUGGUGAUGGUGGAAAUAGUGCUCAGAUUGUGGUGAUUUGAUGAGAUAACGACACAAAGUCCUCAACGGCAAGGGUGCAGUGGUGGUGGUGGAAGUUAUUGGGUGAUGCUGCUAGGAGAGAUCAUGAGCUGAUAAGUAAAAUAUUUCCCCAUCUUCAUGAGGUAAAAUAUUUUACCCAGAUUUGAUGUUUUUUCUAGGUAUUUUUUGUUUUUUUCCAUUAAAAAUAUAAAAUAGCUGCCAUUGCCUCCUUUUUUAUUCUUCAUACUGAUUUAUACAUAACUUAAUUCCAU